CCUACGGGAGCAGCAGUGGGGAAUAUUGGACAAUGGGCGAAAGCCUGAUCCAGCCAUGCCGCGUGUGUGAAGAAGGCCUUCGGGUUGUAAAGCACUUUCAGUGGGGAAGAAAGCCUUGGGGCUAAUACCCUCGAGGAAGGACAUCACCCACAGAAGAAGCACCGGCUAACUCCGUGCCAGCAGCCGCGGUAAUACGGAGGGUGCGAGCGUUAAUCGGAAUUACUGGGCGUAAAGCGCGCGUAGGCGGUCUGAUAAGCCGGUUGUGAAAGCCCCGGGCUCAACCUGGGAACGGCAUCCGGAACUGUCAGGCUAGAGUGCAGGAGAGGAAGGUAGAAUUCCCGGUGUAGCGGUGAAAUGCGUAGAGAUCGGGAGGAAUACCAGUGGCGAAGGCGGUCUUCUGGACUGACACUGACGCUGAGGUGCGAAAGCGUGGGUAGCAAACAGGAUUAGAUACCCUAGUAGUC
This 464-nucleotide ribosomal RNA is filed under the name Vreelandella stevensii. Its description in RNAcentral is "partial 16S ribosomal RNA". It matches the Rfam family "Bacterial small subunit ribosomal RNA", at positions 338 to 795 of the family's 1533-position model. Lineage: Bacteria; Pseudomonadati; Pseudomonadota; Gammaproteobacteria; Oceanospirillales; Halomonadaceae. The record is from RNAcentral.